Molecule: non-coding RNA, 204 nt
Filed under: Rhizobium sp.
Lineage: Bacteria; Pseudomonadati; Pseudomonadota; Alphaproteobacteria; Hyphomicrobiales; Rhizobiaceae
Also listed under: 1 other name
Source: RNAcentral
GCUUACUUGAAAAGAGAUGGUCCCUUUCCGGCAACGGGGAGGGCUAAGAGAGAAUGCGGUGAGAUCCCUUUCGCGAUCAAUGCCGCGGCUGCCCCCGCAACUGUAAGCGGUGAGCCAUUGCCUAUAAGCCACUGGGAAACCGGGAAGGCAGGCAAAUGGCGGUGACCCGCAAGCCAGGAGACCUGCCAUCUGAUGUUUUUGCUU